Molecule: ribosomal RNA, 720 nt
Filed under: uncultured organism
Description: bacterial SSU rRNA
Rfam family: Bacterial small subunit ribosomal RNA
Source: RNAcentral
CCGAUCGCGAAGGCAGCUUACUAUACAUGGACUGACGCUGAUGCACGAAAGCUUGGGGAGCGAACAGGAUUAGAUACCCUGGUAGUCCACGCCGUAAACGAUGUCCACUCGCUGUUGGCGAUAUUACAGUCAGCGGCCAAGCGAAAGUGAUAAGUGAACCACCUGGGGAGUACGAUCGCAAGUUUGAAACUCAAAGGAAUUGACGGGGGCCCGCACAAGCGGAGGAGCAUGUGGUUUAAUUCGAUGAUACGCGAGGAACCUUACCUGGGCUAGAACGGCAAGUGACGUUAUGUGAAAGCAUGAUUUCUUCGGACACUUGUUGAGGUGCUGCAUGGUUGUCGUCAGCUCGUGCCGUGAGGUGUCGGGUUAAGUCCCAUAACGAGCGCAACCCCUAUACUUAGUUACCAGCAUUUAAGGUGGGGACUCUAAGUAAACUGCCGGCGCAAGCCGAGAGGAAGGUGGGGAUGACGUCAAAUCAGCACGGCCCUUAUGUCCAGGGCUACACACGUGCUACAAUGGCAGGUACAGAGGGCAGCUACCCGGCAACGGGGUGCCAAUCUCCAAAGCCUGCCACAGUUCGGAUUGGGGUCUGCAACUCGACCCUAUGAAGUUGGAUUCGCUAGUAAUCGCGCAUCAGCCAUGGCGCGGUGAUACGUUCCCGGGCAUUGUACACACCGCCCGUCAAGCCAUGGAAGCCGGGGGUACCUGAAGUUGGUUACC